RNAcentral lists this long non-coding RNA (563 nucleotides) under Cyanistes caeruleus (blue tit). RNAcentral describes it as "lncRNA (ENSCCEG00000016648.1)". The record is from RNAcentral. Lineage: Eukaryota; Metazoa; Chordata; Aves; Passeriformes; Paridae.
AGUUCUCUUGGUACCUCUUAUAAAAAAAACAGGCUGAGAUUCUUUAGAUCAUACAGAUUUUCCAGUCUGGAGGUGAGAUAGCACUGGAACAACAAAUGGAAAUGAAGGAUACCUGCAACCUCCCUAAGCUACACUUUGGCAGCCCCCAUUGAAAUGACACAGGGCGCAGACCCUUCUUGUCACCAGCACUGCUGCCAGCACUUCUGGCCCUAUGCAGAGCAUGGAAGAGUUCCCACUGACAGCAAGGGGAUCUCUGAUGAUAUAUUCUCACCAGUGUGCAUAGUGUGCAUGGUUUUGUGGAGCACCUGAGGCUGUGUGCCAUGGAUGGUUUCUGCAGACUGAAUUUACUGAAUGUGCCUCACAUUCUACCCCAGCACCCAGUCUACAGUCCUCAGAAAGGCUGUCUGGAGAAGAACAGUGUGGAAAUACAAGUUAAUAAGAUAAAGAAAAAGCAUAAGGAAGACAGAAGAACGUAAAAGUUGUGACAGAGUCUCCAACUUGCAGAGGGCUUGUGCAUACUCCCUUGUAUGCUUUACUGGAAAAUAAAUAGCUUGGAGUUUGCA